UGCCUCACAUCUUCAGGUAUGUCUAGGAUUACAAAAUCAACAGGAAAACUCAAGUCAUCUAUUAUUACCAGUAUGUCUUCUUCUAUACCACAUGCAUCCUUUCUCGAGUGAUCCUCAAACUUAAAAUUUGUCUUUGUAUCACUGACAUUUUUAAUAUCCAACCUAUGAUAGAUUGAUAAUGGCAUCAAACUCACACUAGCUCCAGAAUCUAUUAGUACCCUUUUGAAGGUUCUUCUUUUAAUUGUGCAUGGUACUGUUAUCGUUCCAGGAUCCUUCUGUUUGUUU
This 285-nucleotide long non-coding RNA is filed under the name Lathyrus oleraceus (garden pea). RNAcentral describes it as "Pisum sativum (pea) long non-coding RNA (PSAT_LNC006326)". Lineage: Eukaryota; Viridiplantae; Streptophyta; Magnoliopsida; Fabales; Fabaceae. The record is from RNAcentral.